AGUGAACGCUGGCGGUAGGCCUAACACAUGCAAGUCGAACGGCAGCACAGUAAGAGCUUGCUCUUACAGGUGGCGAGUGGCGGACGGGUGAGGAAUACAUCGGAAUCUACUUUUUCGUGGGGGGUAACGUAGGGAAACUUACGCUAAUACCGCAUACGACCUACGGGUGAAAGCAGGGGAUCUUCGGACCUUGCGCGAUUGAAUGAGCCGAUGUCGGAUUAGCUAGUUGGCGGGGUAAAGGCCCACCAAGGCGACGAUCCGUAGCUGGUCUGAGAGGAUGAUCAGCCACACUGGAACUGAGACACGGUCCAGACUCCUACGGGAGGCAGCAGUGGGGAAUAUUGGACAAUGGGCGCAAGCCUGAUCCAGCCAUACCGCGUGGGUGAAGAAGGCCUUCGGGUUGUAAAGCCCUUUUGUUGGGAAAGAAAAGCAGCAGGUUAAUACCCCGCUGUUCUGACGGUACCCAAAGAAUAAGCACCGGCUAACUUCGUG
Molecule: ribosomal RNA, 492 nt
Filed under: uncultured bacterium
Lineage: Bacteria
Description: partial 16S ribosomal RNA
Rfam family: Bacterial small subunit ribosomal RNA
Source: RNAcentral